Parus major (Great Tit) is the source of this 2581-nucleotide long non-coding RNA. RefSeq lists it as uncharacterized. The record is from RefSeq and is a predicted model, not a curated record. The transcript is spliced from 4 exons. NCBI's taxonomy places the organism in Eukaryota, Metazoa, Chordata, Aves, Passeriformes, Paridae.
UAUACAAUGUUAUAUGAUGAUUUACAGUACUGGCAAUAUGGAAAAACUUUAAAAAUGUUUGGAUUUCUAUUUUUACCAAGCUUCAGUUGCUUUUAUGAAGGAUAGUGUUUGUGUUAUUGUCCACUGGAGCCCAGCUAAGAACAUCAGAACAUUAUCCUGCCCUGCCCCUGCAAGUAAUGAACUCAUUUCCAGUUUGUAAAAUAUGUUGUUUGUGGUUUCCUGAAAGGGAGAUAGCAGCUAGCUGUUCCUGCUCCCACUGAACAUGGUGUCAGGGUUGUCAGCUUGUAUCAAAGAUUGCAGGCCCCUGCAGGCAUCAGUGCAGAAUUAGGGGAGGAGCAUCCCUUUAUUUUAUUUUACCAUCAUGAUUACACUACUGCAAGUAAUCUACAACCUGAUAGUUCCAGCCUCAACUUCACAACUUCAUGCUUCAGGACAAGUAGCAGUGAUGCUUUUAUAAUAUCAAAAGUUGCUGAUAUGCAUUGGCUGUUCCUUGUCUGCUAUAGAGUUUUCCUCCUCUGGGCUACAGUGUCAACUCUCUGCUUCCCAGUUUCUCUGCACCAGACUGGACAUAAAGUCUAUGUCAUCUCCACAGCCACUCAGACAGAGACACAAGAAAAUAAGAAGUCUUCUAAAACAAGGAGCUUCUUCUGGAGCAGAAAGCCUUCCAGCUGAAAUUCAUGUGAGCCCAGGAAUGCCCAGAAAGAGCAUUGCCAGCAAGGAGGAGGAGGUGAUCCUGCCCCUCUCCUCAGCCCUGGUGAGGCCACACUUGGAGUUCUGUGACCAGUUCUGGGCUUCUCAAUACAAGUGAGACAUGGAAGUCCUGAAGCAGAUCCAGUGAAGGUUACAAAAAUGACUACUUGACAGGAGCAUCUCUCUUACAAUGAAAGGCUGAGGAAGCUGGGCCUGUAGACUCGAGAAGAGGUGACUGAGAAUGGAUCUCAUCAAUGUCUCACAAGCUACUCACUCCAGCAACCACAGAAGCGAUUGCAGUCCUGGGAAACCAAGAUGAGCAGAAGCCCUCGUGCAUUAAAGGUAAAGCAACUUCAGCAGUAGAAAAAUGAAAAAAGGAACAUAUCCUCUCCCUGCUGUUCAGAUGCUGCUGAAGUCCCCUACCAUUUUAUUUUCAAUUGUAUACUGUCUUUUUUUAAUUCACCCACCCAUGUUUCACUUUUGUAAGGUGGACUGUGAACCUGCCAGAGUUAAAAAGGGUACCCAAAAUUCAUGUCUGUAGACUACAUCAUUUCAAAAUCAUGCACAGAGAGUAUUGGAAACAUGUUCUAGAAAAAUAAAAAAAUUCCAAAUGUUGGAAUACAGUCUUUGGGACUUCAUGCUUCCAGGGUGAGGUAACCACCAUGAAGCUCAAAUGUGAGUUACUUUUAUAACAAUGCUACAUUUGUUGACACCACAAGGAACUCAGAAAUUUUGGCAAAACAGUUACAGAGGUUUUAAUUCAAGUGUUGCAUCCACUCUGAUAUUCAGCUAUAAAUUACUACCUGGCCUUUUAAAUUGAGGAGCUGAAUAUAAUUACAUACAUCUUCCGGUUGUUAUUGAUUACAGAAACACCACAACCUAUUUUCACCCUAGGGCUAACUAGGUUCAGAUGUACCCUGUCCUUUCUAUGCAGACCACAGAAAACAAAGAUGCUUUAAGGAAUACCUUGAAAUUGGUGUCUAUUUGUCUGUGCAAAAAUAUAAUUUGUUCAGAGAAUCUAAAUUAAUUGUUCCACUUCCCUGCUGCAGAGAUAAAAGUUAUUAAUGUUUCUUCAUAUGUGAAGGCAGCAUUUGCACUGAUGUGGUAACAUUUGCCAAAACAAGAAAAAUCUUCAGUGGACGAAUAUUUUUUCUGUCAUAUGCUAUCAUUCCCUCCUCUGAAAAAAUUCUGGAUUAGACUUCUUUGACUUAUUGAAGUAGAGACCUAGGGCACAAUUCUUAUAAGCAGCUUUAUGUAGUACAAAGACUCGGCAAGAUCCCAACACAGUUCUAAGCACUAUACAGACACCUACAGAAAGACAAAUCCAUAUACCCACUCAACCCUGAAAGAUAUUUAUACCAGUGCAAAAUGAAUGUAUUAUACUGUCAUUCUGGUUUGAUGGUAACUGAGGUCCAUCAGCAAAUUAAUUGUGUGCAGCAUCAAAAUAGUGCUGAGGGACACAACAGUCCCUGCCCUGGCGGCUUCACAACUACUUUUCCAUCCUUUCCCUGUUACACUUGUGUGGGCUCUACACACAGGCACCAAGUCUUCAGACUUAGAAAGGAUUCAAAAUAAAACACACCAAAACAAAAACCCCAUUGUGUACUUUCUGAUUAAUUUUUGAGUGCACCUGAAGCAAUUACAAGGGUAGUCCUGGUAUUCUUCAUAGAGUCUGUCCCUUAAUGUGCACCAUAAUUAGAGGAAACUUGGAUCCCAACAGACAUGGUUUCUAAAGACUUGAGAGAUUGGCAAGGGAGGGUGGGGAGCAGGGAAACAAGGAAGGUCAUUAAACAUAGGCAAGGCAGCUCUGCUUGCCCCUCUCAGCACAGACCAAUGCAAAUAUGUGGUCUGAAAAUUAACACAGUUAGGAAGGAAACAUCCCACAGGGAGA